GUAAAAAUUUUUUUUACUUAUUAUUUAUUGAUUUUAAUUUAUAAUUUUGGUGUAAAAAUACUUGGAUACGAUAUUCACCCUUAUAUAAUUCUAAUAAACAUUUAUUAUAAUGAUUAUUGGUAUUAAAUCUGAUUUAUAUGUCUAAUUAACCGUAAUAGAAGGCACCUGCCACAAGAGGGCGCGACAGAACAGCGUUGAGCACACGCGUUCAUUAUUGACGACACAAAUACACAAAAUGGUCCUAUUUUUCAGUCAUUUAAAUUCUAAAAGCAGUGGACCCGAUUAUAUAUCAAUUAUGAAUCUAUCAACCGUGUUUAUUCAGAGAUUUAGGAGGAACCCCGCGUCUUCUUCAUCAUGAGCGCGCUGUGCGUAAGAGGAGACCCGCGCGCGCUCCCGCGGAACCAGACGAGCGAGAUGACGCGCGGCGCGCUCCCGCGGUACAAGGUCUGAUUUAAACGCGUUCACUUCACUUCACUGAGACAGAACUGGAGUGACUCUGGGUUUAUUCGUCUAACGCGCUUUUCUCAGCUCUUUCACGAUGUUUGAGUGCAUCAUGUGAAACUGGUCAGUUGGGUACGUGGAAAUGCUCGGACCAUUUCACACGACCCCUGACCUCUCCUGCCCGACUCUUUGACGAGACGCCGAGCCCUGGAUGCUGUAAGGAUGGACGUUCACAUGCACAAGAGCCGGACGCUUCACUACGGCCUCAACCACAGUCCUGACGAUGAUCUGCAGUUCCUCAGUCGGGAGGAGCGGGAGUGUAUUUUGUUCUUUGAGGAGACCAUCGGCUCCCUGGAGGAGGACGAUGAGAGGACAGGGCUGUCCUCAUACACUACAGCUCCACGUCCCAGCGCUGCAGAUCAGGACAUCAUUGACCUGGUGCACCCUUCAGUCGGUCCCAGCAAACAGAGAGACACGCUGCCCGUCAGGCCAGGUAUCCCAAAAACAUCAGCUCCAUAUAAACCAUAGAAAACAUUGCAAUUCUGCGUUUAAUCAUCAUAAAACCUCAUGCUAAUCGUGCAAUGCUUUGUGAAGUUACUAACGCCACAGCAAACACUAUAUAGCGAUUCUAGUUUAAAAAAAAAUGCAUAAUGCAAAGAUGUGUAAUAAAGCAUUGACUUCGAGUGCAUUGCAUGCUGUGUUCAUCAGGUGAAGCCCAGUCGUCCUCUUAAAAAUCUAAACUAUCCAAAAAAAAACAUCCACGUCUGGGGAUUUUCACCAGAGACUAAAUGCACUAAAGAGUUGAUUAGCAGAUGUAGUAGGAUUUCAGGGAAUUGUAUGUGUAUAAUUAUAGUACAUAUAUACUGUGGAAACACAGCAUUAGUAUGUGACUGCAAACAUAACCAAAGUAUUCAAGAACAUAUGUGUCUGUAUGUAGAUUAGUGCUGUCAAAUGAUUACUCACAUCCAAAAUAAGUUUGUUUACAUUUUAUACAUAUAUAUAUAUAUAUAUAUAUAUAUAUAUAUAUAUAUAUAGUGUGUGUGUAUAUUUAUGUAUAUAUAAAUGCAUGCAUAUAUAUAAAAAACUUUACAUUUGUAUAUUAAAUAUAUUUAUAUCAUAUAAUUUAUGAAUAUAAAUAUAUACCCAAAAUACUUGUAAAUGUUUACAAAUUAUAUUCACAAAUAUUAUAAAAAAGUGAAAACACUUCUAUGCUGAAUUCACACACGCACGCACACACACACGCACACACACACACAAUCACACACACAAUCACACACGCGCACACACACACACACACAAUCACACACACACACACACAGAGAUAAGAGACCCAAUGUUUUUGCCACUAAAGCAACUGACAACUUUAAAUUAAGUUUAAUAUUCCUGUCAUAUUGUUGUCAUUACAUAUUUGUGCCCUGAACCACAAAACCAGUCAUAAUGGUCAUUUUUUAAAAUGCAUUUAUACAUUAUGAAUAACUACGUUUUCCAUUGAUGUGUGGUUUGUUAUGAGGACAAUAUUUGAAAACCUGGAACCUGAGGGAGCAAAAAUAUCUAAAUAUUGAGAAAAUCAUCUUUAAAGUUGUUCAAAUGAAGUUCUUAGCAAUGCAUAUUACUAAUCAAAAAAAAUUAUAUUUAUGAUAGGAAAUUUACUAAAUAUCUCAAUGCAACAUGAAUAUCCGAAUGGCUUUUGACAUAAGAGAAAAGUGUAUAAUUGUGACCCAUGUGUUGUUGUGUAUUGCUUCUUCUGACUGGGUCAUGUUUCUGCAUUGUGUUGUCACU
This is a long non-coding RNA of Carassius auratus (goldfish), 2220 nucleotides long. NCBI's taxonomy places the organism in Eukaryota, Metazoa, Chordata, Actinopteri, Cypriniformes, Cyprinidae. The record is from Ensembl.